This 27-nucleotide non-coding RNA is filed under the name Mus musculus (house mouse). Lineage: Eukaryota; Metazoa; Chordata; Mammalia; Rodentia; Muridae. The record is from RNAcentral.
UGUCCCUUGCUUGCCCUUGGCCACUGC